GAUGAACGCUGGCGGCGUGCCUAAUACAUGCAAGUCGAGCGGACAGACGAGGAGCUUGCUCCUCUGACGUUAGCGGCGGACGGGUGAGUAACACGUGGAUAACCUACCUAUAAGACUGGGAUAACUUCGGGAAACCGGAGCUAAUACCGGAUAACAUGUUGAACCACAUGGUUCAACAGUGAAAGACGGUCUUGCUGUCACUUAUAGAUGGAUCCGCGCCGCAUUAGCUAGUUGGUAAGGUAACGGCUUACCAAGGCAACGAUGCGUAGCCGACCUGAGAGGGUGAUAGGCCACACUGGAACUGAGACACGGUCCAGACUCCUACGGGAGGCAGCAGUAGGGAAUCUUCCGCAAUGGGCGAAAGCCUGACGGAGCAACGCCGCGUGAGUGAAGAAGGUCUUCGGAUCGUAAAACUCUGUUAUUAGGGAAGAACAAAUGUGUAAGUAACUAUGCACGUCUUGACGGUACCUAAUCAGAAAGCCACGGCUAACUACGUG
RNAcentral lists this ribosomal RNA (497 nucleotides) under uncultured bacterium. Its description in RNAcentral is "partial 16S ribosomal RNA". It matches the Rfam family "Bacterial small subunit ribosomal RNA", at positions 28 to 507 of the family's 1533-position model. The record is from RNAcentral.